Molecule: RNA transcript, 944 nt
Organism: Acipenser ruthenus (sterlet)
Lineage: Eukaryota; Metazoa; Chordata; Actinopteri; Acipenseriformes; Acipenseridae
Gene: mnd1
Gene name: meiotic nuclear divisions 1 homolog (S. cerevisiae)
Exons: 9
Source: RefSeq, a predicted model, not a curated record
CUCUCACGCAGCAGCCCUCGAAGAAUGUGCAUCUGUGCAGAUCUAUGCAGAUCUGCGCUAUAAGAACACGACCUGAGGCUCCACCCAGAAAAUAGUAGCGCGAAAAUUAGUAAAACAAACCUGAGGGAGCAGCAAAAAAGUAAAUAUUAGCCGCCCUGUACGUGAAGACUGGAGUUCAGUUUGAUUAUCUUUCAAACACUCAACUGAUUAUACAAGAUGUCCAAGAAGAAAGGUUUGAGCUUGGAGGAGAAACGGACUCGCAUGAUGGAGAUAUUUUUUGAGACCAAGGAUGUGUUCCAGCUAAAAGAUAUUGAAAAGAUUGCCCCGAAGACUAAAGGAAUAACGCCCAUGUCUGUGAAGGAGGUCCUGCAGAGUCUAGUGGAUGACAGUAUGGUAGAUUCCGAGAGGGUAGGCACGUCCAAUUACUUCUGGGCUUUCCCAAGCAAAGCUCUUCAUGCAAGGAAGUGUAAACUUGAAGAAUUGGAAAAGCAGCAUGCAGAGGGAAGUCUGAGGAAAACAGUCCUGCAGCAGGGUAUUGAAAAGGCAAAAGUCGGUCGGCAAGAUACAGAAGACCGGGCAGCCUUGCUGAAGGAACUUCAGGUGCUAAGGGAACAACGGAACCAGCUGAGAGCAGAGGUGGACAAAUACAGGGAAUGUGACCCAGAGGUGGUGGAAGAAAUUCGUACUGAAUAAACUGUCUGGGGGGCCCAAUGUGCCCCUGGGAUCUUGUAUUGGACACCCCUGGUCUAAACAUUUCAGGUUACAAGGGCAAUCAAACAAAAUUGCAAAGGAUGCAGUCAACAGGUGGACAGAUAAUGUUUUUUCCAUCAGGGGUUGGGCCAAGAGGAAAUUUGGCUUUGAGGAAAGUCGAAUUGAUAAAACGUUUGGAAUACCGGAGGAUUUUGACUACAUUGAUUAAAGUUUUUGAUUUUUGAUUACAUUGA